Molecule: ribosomal RNA, 427 nt
Filed under: uncultured bacterium
Lineage: Bacteria
Description: bacterial SSU rRNA
Rfam family: Bacterial small subunit ribosomal RNA
Source: RNAcentral
UGGGGAAUUUUGGACAAUGGGCGAAAGCCUGAUCCAGCCAUGCCGCGUGAGUGAAGAAGGCCUUCGGGUUGUAAAGCUCUUUUAGUCGGAAAGAAAGAGUUGCAAUGAAUAAUUGUGAUUUAUGACGGUACCGACAGAAAAAGCACCGGCUAACUCCGUGCCAGCAGCCGCGGUAAUACGGAGGGUGCAAGCGUUAUCCGGAUUCACUGGGUUUAAAGGGUGCGUAGGUGGGCAGAUAAGUCAGUGGUGAAAUCUUCCGGCUUAACCGGGAAACUGCCGUUGAUACUAUUUGUCUUGAAUAUUGCGGAGGUAAGCGGAAUAUGUCAUGUAGCGGUGAAAUGCUUAGAUAUGACAUAGAACACCAAUUGCGAAGGCAGCUUACUACACAAUCAUUGACACUGAGGCACGAAAGCGUGGGUAGCGAACA